Molecule: ribosomal RNA, 493 nt
Filed under: uncultured bacterium
Lineage: Bacteria
Description: partial 16S ribosomal RNA
Rfam family: Bacterial small subunit ribosomal RNA
Source: RNAcentral
GACGAACGCUGGCGGCGUGCUUAACACAUGCAAGUCGAACGGUGAAGCGCCUUCCUUUUUGGUGGGUGUGGAUGAGUGGCGAACGGGUGAGUAACACGUGAGUAACCUGCCCCCUUCUUCUGGAUAACCGCAUGAAAGUGUGGCUAAUACGGGAUAUUCUGGGUCUGUCGCAUGAUGGGUCUGGGAAAGAUAUUGUUUCGGUGGGGGAUGGGCUCGCGGCCUAUCAGCUUGUUGGUGGGGUGAUGGCCUACCAAGGCGGUGACGGGUAGCCGGCCUGAGAGGGUGGACGGUCACACUGGGACUGAGACACGGCCCAGACUCCUACGGGAGGCAGCAGUGGGGAAUAUUGCACAAUGGGCGCAAGCCUGAUGCAGCGACGCCGCGUGAGGGAUGGAGGCCUUCGGGUUGUGAACCUCUUUCGCCAGUGAAGCAGGCCUGCCCCGUUUGUGGGUGGGUUGACGGUAGCUGGAUAAGAAGCGCCGGCUAACUACGU